This 45-nucleotide ribosomal RNA is filed under the name Cylindrocarpon sp. RNAcentral's name for it is "partial 28S ribosomal RNA". Lineage: Eukaryota; Fungi; Ascomycota; Sordariomycetes; Hypocreales; Nectriaceae. The record is from RNAcentral.
GGUUGACCUCGAAUCAGGUAGGACUACCCGCUGAACUUAAGCAUA